Molecule: non-coding RNA, 440 nt
Organism: Paramuricea clavata
Lineage: Eukaryota; Metazoa; Cnidaria; Anthozoa; Malacalcyonacea; Plexauridae
Source: the annotation of a GenBank genome assembly
UUGAACUAUAAAAAAACUGGAAGGCUAACUCAGGGGGGGAAAUUGAAGCCAGUGCAUUUUAGUUUUUCUGAGUUAUGAGCAGAAAUACUCAACACUGAACGCUAGGCUAUAUAUCAAAUUGAAGCUAUUGAAAAACUCUAUUUGGUGUAGAAAUUUCAAGACUUUAGCUAAAAGGGAAAUAUUGAAAAACUACAAACAUAAUUACCGAUAAUUUGCCGUUUUGCAGUUGUUUUUGUAUUUUUUAAAUAUUUUUCUUUUCGCUGAAGUCUUGAAAUUUCCACACCGAAUAGCAAUUUUCAAUAGCUUCAAUUUGAUAUAUAGUCCGACGUUUGGGGUCAGGUAUUUCUGCUCAUAACUCAGAAAAACUAUUUUGGCUUCAUCAAAUCAUAGGCCUUCAUCAUAGCAGUUAGCCUUCCAGUUUAUUUAUAGUUCAAUGCGUC